This 832-nucleotide small RNA is filed under the name Pan troglodytes (chimpanzee). RNAcentral's name for it is "processed transcript". The record is from RNAcentral. Lineage: Eukaryota; Metazoa; Chordata; Mammalia; Primates; Hominidae.
GGAGUUCAAGACCAGCCUAGACAACAUAGAACUAAGCGUCUUGUAGAAGGAACUAUUAAUCCAGGAGAAACCUGUUUAAUCAUUGAAGAUGUUGUCACCAGUGGAUCUAGUGUUUUGGAAACUGUUGAGGUUCUUCAGAAGGAGGGCUUGAAGGUCACUGAUGCCAUAGUGCUGUUGGACAGAGAGCAGGGAGGCAAGGACAAGUUGCAGACGCACGGGAUCCGCCUCCACUCAGUGUGUACAUUGUCCAAAAUGCUGGAGAUUCUCGAGCAGCAGAAAAAAAUUGAUGCUGAGACAGUUGGGAGAGUGAAGAGGUUUAUUCAGGAGAAUGUCUUUGUGGCAGCGAAUCAUAAUGGUUCUCCCCUUUCUAUAAAGGAAGCACCCAAAGAACUCAGCUUUGGUGCACGUGCAGAGCUGCCCAGGAUCCACCCAGUUGCAUCGAAGCUUCUCAGGCUUAUGCAAAAGAAGGAGACCAAUCUGUGUCUAUCUGCUGAUGUUUCAGAGGCCAGAGAGCUGUUGCAGCUAGCAGAUGCUUUAGGACCUAGUAUCUGCAUGCUGAAGACUCAUGUAGAUAUUUUGAAUGAUUUUACUCUGGAUGUGAUGAAGGAGUUGAUAACUCUGGCAAAACACCAUGAGUUCUUGAUAUUUGAAGACCGGAAGUUUGCAGAUAUAGGAAACACAGUGAAAAAGCAGUAUGAAGGUAAGUGUAUUAUUCAGGAAUCUGCAAGAAUCAGAAAUCCAGCUUAAACUGAAGAAGAAAAAGGAAAUGCUCAUGUCAUUGAAAGUCCAUUCAUAGAGCAGGCUGUCAAGCGUGGUUGGAUCCAGGAGCUCA